CGGCGGGCGGCCCGGGCCCCGUGCCCGGCGCCCCCCGGCCCCUCGCGGGCGCCCGCCGGAGGUAAACCAAACUCUUGAAUUGUAUGGCCUCUCUGAGUCUUCUGUACUGAAUAAGUCAAAACUUUCAACAACGGAUCUCUUGGUUCUGGCAUCGAUGAAGAACGCAGCGAAAUGCGAUAAGUAAUGUGAAUUGCAGAAUUCAGUGAAUCAUCGAAUCUUUGAACGCACAUUGCGCCCGCCAGUAUUCUGGCGGGCAUGCCUGUUCGAGCGUCAUUUCAACCAUCAAGCCCCCGGCUUGUGUUGGGGACCUGCGGCUGCCGCAGGCCCUGAAAACCAGUGGCGGGCUCGCUAGUCACUCCGAGCGUAGUAGUUACAUCUCGCUCAGGGCGUGCUGCGGGUUCCGGCCGUUAAAAGCCUUUUUUACCCAAGGUUGACCUCGGAUCAGGUAGGAAGACCCGCUGAACUUAAGCAUAUCAAUAAGC
RNAcentral lists this ribosomal RNA (482 nucleotides) under Chaetomium sp. RNAcentral describes it as "eukaryotic LSU rRNA". The stretch from base 120 to 273 matches the Rfam family "5.8S ribosomal RNA". Lineage: Eukaryota; Fungi; Ascomycota; Sordariomycetes; Sordariales; Chaetomiaceae. The record is from RNAcentral.